Gymnodraco acuticeps is the source of this 656-nucleotide long non-coding RNA. RefSeq lists it as uncharacterized. The record is from RefSeq and is a predicted model, not a curated record. NCBI's taxonomy places the organism in Eukaryota, Metazoa, Chordata, Actinopteri, Perciformes, Bathydraconidae. The transcript is spliced from 7 exons.
CACAGCACCGGGAGGCACCGGCGGCUGUCACAGACAGCAGUUAGGCGGGCAUGGCGGCACACCGCCCCGCAUGUCCCCGCAGGACCAGACGGUCUGUUACCGGACCUCGUUUAGUUGUUAACAGAUAAAGUUUAAUAAUGCCAUAUGUGUGUGUUGAGUGUUCCUGCGCGGAGAGGCUGCCGGUGUGCAAAGCGGGACUUUCUGAGGCUGAAAGUUAACGCAGAGCUCCAAACCAGGGCGGAAUGAAGAUGAAGCCAUGCUGAUGUCCUCGGCCCUCAGCUGCUGUGCUCACUCACACCCGGCUGGUUGAGAUGUUCCAGCUCCACACAAUGCUGCAGGAAGGACCAAAGUACAUUCAGCAGAUGUUCCAGCUCUCCACAUUUCUUCAGGAAGAUCCAUAGAACACUCAGCAGAAGUUCCAGCUCCACACAAUGCUGCAGGAAGGACCAAAGUACAUUCAGCAGAUAUUCCAGCUCUCCACAUUUCUUCAGGAAGGUCCAUAGAACACUCAGCAGGCAGGAUCAGCGUUGGACAAACGGCACAGCAGCCAGAGAAAACUGAAGAACGACUGCAAAUCAAACUGGAUUUACUUCAUGUGUUUUGUAUAAUAUGUGUUCAUAUUGUAUAAAACUAAAGCAGGUUGCUUUAAGCAUUCA